GAGGGGAUAGCUCAGUGGUAGAGUGCCUGCCUAGCAUGCACAAGGUCCUGGGUUCAAUCCCUAGUACCCUAC
RNAcentral lists this transfer RNA (72 nucleotides) under Camelus bactrianus (Bactrian camel). It matches the Rfam family "tRNA". Rfam says of the family: Transfer RNA (tRNA) molecules are approximately 80 nucleotides in length. The record is from Rfam by way of RNAcentral. RNAcentral also lists the same sequence under 2 other names. Lineage: Eukaryota; Metazoa; Chordata; Mammalia; Artiodactyla; Camelidae.